CAGGGGUGGGGCUGGGAAGCCAUAUUUGCAUAGAGACUCUUCCCAUGAUGCCCUGGAACAGACUGGAUCAGAUUGGGUCACAAUACAGUGAGGACAAGACCAGCCUACCCACUUGGCUUUCAGUUUACCAGACUAUUCCAGAUUCUUCACAGUGAACAGGGAAGAAUUAAAUGUCAUAGUUAUAGACCUGCCCCUGACAUGGGUGAAUAGAAGCCCAGAGCCCAAUGCUCAGGAAAGCCAGGCACUUUCUCUUCCAUGGUAGCUGCUGUGGUAAGGAGUUCCCAAGGAGUGCAGAGUCCCUGCUCAUCACGGAAUGCCCCGAUCAAGAGAUCAGACACAGGAGACAAACGGAAACACAUGCAAGUGGUGAGACAAACGGAAACACGUGCAAGUGGUGAGCUGUGACAGUGGUCAGGUCAGAGUGAUGCUACAAGACACAACAGUAAAGAGUGCCACAGAGCUAGGUAAAGUGAGGCAAAAGGAGAAGGCAGCUCAUAGCAAGCAGGAUCCUUGGCAAGGAGAGCCAGCGACUGACUGCAGACAGUGCAGGAGACAGCGUGUGAAGCCGCCCCGGCUGCAGGCUUGUGCAGCUCGCUUUUAUUUAUGGUAACACGCAUUACAGGAAAAUUUUAUAUAAGGCAUUAAAGUGCAAGCAAUUUAAGACACUUGAUCAGCCUUCCUCCCCGGCAUCCUGACAUCUCCUCCCACCCGUCAU
Molecule: long non-coding RNA, 715 nt
Organism: Mus musculus (house mouse)
Lineage: Eukaryota; Metazoa; Chordata; Mammalia; Rodentia; Muridae
Product: predicted gene, 42018
Exons: 3
Source: RefSeq, a predicted model, not a curated record